GCCCCGGUACCUCAGUUGGAUAGAGGGUCCGCCUCCUAAGCGGAACGCCGCUGGUUCGAGCCCAGUCCGGGGUGCCA
This 77-nucleotide transfer RNA is filed under the name Candidatus Pullichristensenella avicola. RNAcentral describes it as "tRNA-Arg". It matches the Rfam family "tRNA". Rfam says of the family: Transfer RNA (tRNA) molecules are approximately 80 nucleotides in length. Their secondary structure includes four short double-helical elements and three loops (D, anti-codon, and T loops). Further hydrogen bonds mediate the characteristic L-shaped molecular structure. tRNAs have two regions of fundamental functional importance: the anti-codon, which is responsible for specific mRNA codon recognition, and the 3' end, to which the tRNAs corresponding amino acid is attached (by aminoacyl-tRNA synthetases). tRNAs cope with the degeneracy of the genetic code in two manners: having more than one tRNA (with a specific anti-codon) for a particular amino acid; and 'wobble' base-pairing, i.e. permitting non-standard base-pairing at the 3rd anti-codon position. The record is from RNAcentral. Lineage: Bacteria; Bacillati; Bacillota; Clostridia.